AACGAACGCUGGCGGCGCGUCUUAAGCAUGCAAGUCGAACGGUAAGGGAGAGCUUGCUCUCCCCUAGAGUGGCGGACUGGUGAGUAACGCGUGGGUGACCUGCCCUGAAGAUGGGGAUAGCUAGUAGAAAUAUUAGAUAAUACCGAAUGUGCUCAUUUACAUAAAGGUAAAUGAGGAAAGGAGCUACGGCUCCGCUUCAGGAUGGGCCCGCGUCCCAUUAGCUGGUUGGUGAGGUAAAGGCCCACCAAGGCAACGAUGGGUAUCCGGCCUGAGAGGGUGAACGGACACAUUGGGACUGAGAUACGGCCCGAACUCCUACGGGAGGCAGCAGCUAAGAAUCUUCCGCAAUGGACGAAAUGUCUGACGGAGCGACGCCGUGUGAAUGAAGAAGGCCGAAAGGUUGUAAAAUUCUUUUGCAGAUGAAGAAUAAGAAGAAGAGGGAAUGCUUCUUUGAUGACGGUAGUCAUGCGAAUAACCCCGCUAAUUACC
RNAcentral lists this ribosomal RNA (489 nucleotides) under Treponema denticola. RNAcentral describes it as "bacterial SSU rRNA". It matches the Rfam family "Bacterial small subunit ribosomal RNA", at positions 29 to 505 of the family's 1533-position model. Lineage: Bacteria; Pseudomonadati; Spirochaetota; Spirochaetia; Treponematales; Treponemataceae. The record is from RNAcentral.